UCCAAGGUAUAACAGUUAGUGUUUACCAAAUAUUUGAAAACUAUAGUUUUACAACUGCCAAAUUUCAAUCCCAAACAUGAUGUAUAAUACCUAAUGGACACAAUAAUUUUCAAAUAGCAUUAAAUAAUCGUUAAAAGUCUCAAAGUUGGAUUUUAAGUCAUGGGGCAUCCUUCAUUUGCAAAAGAUACAUAUUUGGUUGGUGCACAAAUUCUUCCAUAAAGUUUAUUCAUACAUAGCCAAACGCAUCCCCUGCUUAACUGAAUUGCUGCAUGCUCAAUUAAAUUUCUAUUAAAAGGCUCCCAAUCCCAAAGAAAUCCGCAAUAUCAUAAUUAAUAUUAAAAUAUUAAUUAACAGGAAGCUCAAAUAAUGUUCUUGCAACCAAGUACCAGCUGCAGCCAAAGAAAAGAGCAAGCCAGCAAAAAAAAACUUCUCCUGAAAUACAUAGCAUCGAGGAUUCCCUUAUGCAUCGUAUUGGUAACAUGGGUUCUUGUAACAUCCCAGUUUGAAUUUCAAAGGCAAAUAUGUCUACAACUCACAUAUGAAUUUAAAUAACUCUUUACAAACAAUAAAAUUCGAGCCUCAAAUAUAAAAGCCAGCGGAAUAACUUAAAAAUUUAGCCAAACAAUCUACCAUCCUCAAUUCAAAUCCAUCUUCUUACUCAUCACGAAUCAAUCCUGACUUCUGAAAACUGAAUCACAAUAAACUAUAACGAGUACAAAACUCAGUAAGCAAACUAGUUUUUCUUAUACUAAAAUACAUACAUACUUAUACAUAAUGCAGAUGGAUAAUAUGUCAUGAUCUUUUGGAAAUAUUGUAAAACAAAUUCAUCAAAAUCUCUUUCUGUCACUUUCAAACUUCCAUAUUUUCUUUCAAUAAAAUACAUAUUCUGCAAUUGUGGCACUUUGCGUCGCUCUGACUCUUAAGAGGUGGCCUCCGCAUAGUCUCAAGAGGUGGCCCCCACACAACUUCAAGAGGUGGCCCCCAAUAUAAAAUCUCAUAAAACAGAAAUCUCAUUUGCUAAAAUCCAUUUUCUCAUUCAUAGAAAACUCAUUGCAUUUUCGUACUUAUGCCAAUGAAAUUUCACACAUACAUAUACCCAUGUACGUAAUCACGCCCAGCACAUAACAACACAUCACAUAAACACAUGAGCAGAGACAUAUAAAUCCAUAAUCGUACAUGUAAAAAAUAGGCUAUUCACACAAGUCAAACAUAUAUAUUGUUUAUUGUGAUUCAUUUAAAAGUCUAUUUAACUUACCUCUUGGCAUCCUCAUGCAACAAAUGCGUACUGAUAUCAUCAACCUAAAAUCAUCAAUAAAUUUCUUAGAAAAUAUAAUCAAGUCUCAAUAAUAAACUCUAAUGUCCUCAGCUAUCUCAAUUUAAACAUCUCAUAAGCUCAACCUCAAAUGUCCUCAAUAAUCGGCCCUCAAAACAUAACAGUCCAUAUUCUCCGAUUUUUUAAUAAAUUAUUCCCUCAUUGGAAAACUCUCAAAUUUUACAGACCAUAUGCUGACAUAUUGAAAGUUCACUGAUAAAAAUUUCAUAACUUGAUUCCUUCAAAAACUAUUGAAAAUAAUUGACGUUUCAGACAUCAUCAAUGCUGUCAAACAGUUUUCUGUUUUGCACACACUUGCUUUAAAAAUACAAAAAAAAUUAUUUCUUUAUCAUAAAAUCAUGAAAAUUUACAGACUCAUACUAGACAUAUGUAAAAAUCUCUGAUCCAAAUUUCAUAAUUUUUGAAGAAGUCUAGCUAUGGUAAAAAUUGUUUCGUAAUUCACGUUAUGCACUGAAAUCAUAAAUUUUCAGGUUUUCAGACUUGAAUUUGGGUGGCCCCCACACAACUUCAAGAGGUGGCCCCCAAUAUAAAAUCUCAUAAAACAGAAAUCUCAUUUGCUAAAAUCCAUUUUCUCAUUCAUAGAAAACUCAUUGCAUUUUCGUACUUAUGCCAAUGAAAUUUCACACAUACAUAUACCCAUGUACGUAAUCACGCCCAGCACAUAACAACACAUCACAUAAACACAUGAGCAGAGACAUAUAAAUCCAUAAUCGUACAUGUAAAAAAUAGGCUAUUCACACAAGUCAAACAUAUAUAUUGUUUAUUGUGAUUCAUUUAAAAGUCUAUUUAACUUACCUCUUGGCAUCCUCAUGCAACAAAUGCGUACUGAUAUCAUCAACCUAAAAUCAUCAAUAAAUUUCUUAGAAAAUAUAAUCAAGUCUCAAUAAUAAACUCUAAUGUCCUCAGCUAUCUCAAUUUAAACAUCUCAUAAGCUCAACCUCAAAUGUCCUCAAUAAUCGGCCCUCAAAACAUAACAGUCCAUAUUCUCCGAUUUUUUAAUAAAUUAUUCCCUCAUUGGAAAACUCUCAAAUUUUACAGACCAUAUGCUGACAUAUUGAAAGUUCACUGAUAAAAAUUUCAUAACUUGAUUCCUUCAAAAACUAUUGAAAAUAAUUGACGUUUCAGACAUCAUCAAUGCUGUCAAACAGUUUUCUGUUUUGCACACACUUGCUUUAAAAAUACAAAAAAAAUUAUUUCUUUAUCAUAAAAUCAUGAAAAUUUACAGACUCAUACUAGACAUAUGUAAAAAUCUCUGAUCCAAAUUUCAUAAUUUUUGAAGAAGUCUAGCUAUGGUAAAAAUUGUUUCGUAAUUCACGUUAUGCACUGAAAUCAUAAAUUUUCAGGUUUUCAGACUUGAAUUUGAAAAAUCAUAACUAAUUGAAAUCUUAUCCGAUUAACUUGAAACAAGUUUCAAAACAUUCUAGAUGAUGUCUAGUUUAACAUAUCCAAAUAUCAGAAUCAAAAUCAAUUUGUAAAAAUUACUAAGAUUUUCGUAAUAAUUCACUGUGAGCAUAUUUAUGCAAAAUCUUAAGUUUCUACUUCUAUUGCAAUCAUGCUUCUCCAUAACGAAUUAAUAAAUAAAACCAAGAAUUAAAACUUACCUCCAAAUCCAAAUCUUUUCUCAACAAUACCCAAUUCAAAUUAUGCAACUUGAUCUCAUGUGUUGCCCAUGACAGAAUAAAGAAGAAGAUUUUCUUCUUUUCUUUUCUCUCUUUUCUUUUCUCUCUUUUCUCUCCAUCUCUCUCUCUCAUUUUUCCUAUUGUUUUUUUUUUCUCAACCGAUCUCUCUUUCCCUCUCUCUUAUAAUGAGAAAGACAUACUAUUCUAUUUAUACUAGGGUAAAAAAUAGAUCACUAAAAUUAAAAGAUUUAAAUACCCUUAGGAGAAUUGGGGUAUUACAGUUCCCAUCAAUAACUAUCCUGAAAACUUCAGCACAGCUGUAGUCAAACAGCUACUGCCUAUUGUCACGGCCCGCUUGUUCCCAAGUUGUGCCGUGCGGCCUUAGGCGCCAAAUCACACUCUCUUAACCCUAAGUUAGCCUUGCACACUCCGAACGUUGCUGGAUUCAAAAGUCGAAAUGAGUAUUCACACAAACUCACUCAAGAUAGGAGGAAAGAACUUUUAUUGCUCAAAAAAAGCUUACAAUGCUUUGUGUGCUGGAACUUGUGUGUUUCUAGUGUGUCUUGAACCAAACGAUG
RNAcentral lists this long non-coding RNA (3530 nucleotides) under Citrus sinensis (sweet orange). Its description in RNAcentral is "long non-coding RNA (CSIN_LNC001968)". The record is from RNAcentral. Lineage: Eukaryota; Viridiplantae; Streptophyta; Magnoliopsida; Sapindales; Rutaceae.